CACGGGGUUGCGAGCGUUGCCGGAAUUACUAGGCGUAAAGGGCAGGCAGGCGGAUCCAUAAGUUUAUCGUUUAAGGCGUCGGCUUAACCGGCGUAGGGCGGUAGAUACUGUGGAUCUGGAAUGCGGUUGGGGAAGACAGAAUUCCUGGUGUAGCGGUGGAAUGCGCAGAGAUCAGGAGGAAUACCGAAGGCGAAGGCAGUCUUCCAAGCCGUUAUUGACGCUCAACUGCGAAGGUGUGGGUAUCAGACAGGAUUAGAUACCCUGGUAGUCCCU
RNAcentral lists this ribosomal RNA (273 nucleotides) under uncultured prokaryote. Its description in RNAcentral is "partial 16S ribosomal RNA". It matches the Rfam family "Bacterial small subunit ribosomal RNA", at positions 524 to 798 of the family's 1533-position model. The record is from RNAcentral.